Molecule: RNA transcript, 11324 nt
Organism: Electrophorus electricus (electric eel)
Lineage: Eukaryota; Metazoa; Chordata; Actinopteri; Gymnotiformes; Gymnotidae
Gene: kcnc3a
Gene name: potassium voltage-gated channel, Shaw-related subfamily, member 3a
Source: RefSeq, a predicted model, not a curated record
ACUACCUUGCACGAAAAUACAAAUUUACUUAAAACGCAUCGACAGCAAAAAAGGAGAGACGAACGGACGGUUCUGUUAGAUGUCAAGGAUUCGCCUACAUCAAUUCUACAUACACUCUGUCGUAUUUGCCUGGGUGUUUGAUCCGUUUAGGCAGAUUUUAUUAUUUUAACACUGACCGUCAUUUGGGACCACGGAAACAGGUGAAGACUGAGAAGGAAGGAAGACUGAAAAGAAAGCGAUACAGUAGUAGACGUGAGUGCGUGCUAUAGAAAGGGAGGGAGAGGUGAUUCCCUGCGGUUCCUUGUGCUUGGUCGGAUUGGGCUGUACUGUUCAGGGAAGAAAACGUUGUUCUCACUCUCCUUUGAAUUAAUUGCAGGGAAUCUUUAAUAAUUACAAAAGAAAAUAUACAGCUGAACGUAGUACUAUUAAAUAUUUGACAAAGCUAAUUUAUUAAUGAGAAAACCUGGAGUAGAGUUUUAUAGCACACAGAAAUGUGUCAAAUUUCAGAAGCGCGGCGGCAUUGGUAGGAACGGGCGCGGGAGGGUAGCGUACUCCAGCACAGAAAAGUCACGCCGUGAGCUGCAGCAUUUAGUGAAAAUAUCUAACAUCAUCCAGGAAGCAGGGCUUCAGGUGGAUGAGACGGACUUGACACCGGGAAGAGUGCCUUCAGUUAAAAAAAUAUCAAAAAUCCCACGUUAUAAUUCCGUUCGUGUGUUAAUGUGUGUGCGCUCAUUGACACGCACACUGCGUACACACGAACCGAGCCAGACCCAAAGCGAGCUCCUCCUCCCCCCUCCCCUUUCCAUCCUAUCUCUCUAUACCUCCCCCUCCCCCCGAUCCUCUAUGCUCAGUUCCGUGUGUGUCUCCUCUUUCAAAGGGCGCAAGGGUGGGAACAAGUCGUCCAACAAAGCAUGUUACAGUGCCGACAUGACUUGUCCAUCAGACAGCGAGAAAAUAGUGAUCAACUGCGGGGGGAUUCGACAUGAAACGUACCGCAGCACACUCAAGACCCUGCCUGGGACACGUCUGUCCUGGCUCACUGAACCAGACGCCUUCAGUAACUUUGAUUAUGACCCCAAAUCAGACGAAUUCUUCUUUGAUCGCCACCCCAACACAUUUGCUUUUAUUCUGAACUAUUAUCGCACGGGGAAGCUGCACUGUCCCGGUGACGUUUGCGGUCCACUCUUCGAAGAGGAGCUCGCUUUCUGGGGCAUUGAUGAGACGGAUGUGGAGGCAUGCUGUUGGAUGAACUACCGACAGCACCGGGAUGCCGAGGAAGCGCUGGACAGCUUCGAGACCCCCGAACCGGAUCCACCAGAGGAAGACCCAGCACUGACGGGUGGUGCUGAUGGGGACUUGAAGCGACUGUGCCUGCAAGAAGAUGGGCGUAAGCCCAGCUGUUGGAGUGUUUGGCAACCCCGCAUCUGGGCACUCUUUGAGGAUCCGUACUCCUCCAAGUAUGCCAGGUAUGUGGCAUUCGGUUCCCUCUUCUUCAUCCUCAUCUCCAUCUCGACGUUCUGCAUGGAGACACAUGAGCUCUUCAACACCAUCCACAACAGGACAGAGAACGUGACGGUGGGCAACGUGACACGGGAGGAGGUGACCUUCGAGGUGGUGACGGACAGAUGGCUAACGUACGUAGAGGGCGUGUGUGUCAUGUGGUUCACCAUCGAGGUGUUCACGCGUGUCAUCUUCUGCCCGGACAAGGCCGAGUUCUUCAAAAGCUCGCUGAACAUCAUUGACUUCGUGGCCAUCCUGCCCUUCUACCUGGAGAUGGGACUGAGCGGCCUCUCCUCCAAAGCGGCAAAGGAUGUGUUGGGCUUCUUGCGUGUGGUGCGCUUCGUCCGGAUCCUGAGGAUCUUCAAGCUGACGCGCCACUUCGUGGGCCUGCGUGUGCUGGGCCACACGCUGCGUGCCAGCACAAACGAGUUCCUCCUCCUCAUUAUCUUCCUCGCCCUGGGCGUGCUCAUCUUCGCCACCAUGAUCUACUACGCUGAGCGCAUCGGUGCAGACCCUGCCGACCCCACGGCCAGCGCCCACACCACCUUCAAGAACAUCCCCAUUGGCUUCUGGUGGGCUGUGGUCACCAUGACAACGCUGGGUUAUGGCGACAUGUACCCGGAGACAUGGUCAGGGAUGCUGGUGGGUGCGCUGUGUGCCCUGGCGGGUGUGCUCACCAUUGCCAUGCCUGUGCCCGUCAUUGUUAACAACUUUGGUUUGUACUACUCACUGGCCAUGGCCAAGCAGAAGCUGCCUAAAAAGAAGAACAAGCACAUUCCACGUGCACCGCAGCCUGGAUCGCCCAACUACUGCAAGCCCGAUGCCCUCGCCAUGGCCACUGCAUCGCCACACAGGAUCAUGGGUAACGUGCUGGGCGGAGAUUGCCCCUUAGCACAGGAGGAGAUCAUAGAGAUCAACCGUGCAGACUCGAAGCAGAAUGGAGAUGCAGCCAAUGCAGCCCUGGCAAAUGAGGACUGUCCCACAAUAGACCAGGUGCUGGGCCCAGAUGACAGGAGCCCAGCUACCGGCGGCCUCGGCUCGGGGAUAGGCCGAGAGCGUUACCCCCAUGACCACGCCUGCUUCCUGCUCAGUACUGGGGAAUUCCGCCCCACAGAGAGCAAUGUCAGGAAAGGAGGGAACAUUGAAUGGAUGCUGGACUGACAGCGGUCAGUGCGAGAAGAAAAAAGGAUGACUAAUUGCAAAACAUGCUGAAAUGGAAAUUGAAAGAGAGAGAGAGAGAGAGAGAGAGAGAGAGAGAGAGAGAGAGAGAGAGAGAGAGAGAUGUACUCCUGGAGAUAUAUUUGAUCAUGUUGAUCUGUUGCACAUUUGGGACUGUGGUGCACAGGUCUAAGACUGUGUCCACACUCGUAGUGGCAUCUUCCCUGCAAUGGCAGCUUAUGGGGCGUUAUCUCCUUUUUUCGUUUAUCCAUCUGAAAGAAUCUGAAGAUAACAGGACAAGACGAUGUUACAGUUGUGUUGAACAAUGUAGAAGACCGUAGCUUUACUCACUUUGUGAUUUUAAGGACAUUUUUGGUCAUCCCGCAGUAGUCUUUUAACUCUUCUAGUUAAUCAGUGAUGUCAUUCCAGUUCAUUUUAACCACUGUUACAUUUGAAAUGAGCUAUAUGAAAUCAUCUUAUUGAAAUUGAUUUUUUUUUUUGUAUUUAUAAGCAUUUUAAACAUUAUUGCUUUUUAUGCUUGUGUAUGGAGAAAGGUUUGUAUUUUACAUUUGCUCUUGUUUCAUCUCCUGUAUGUCUCUCCUUUUAUAUCAAGAUGUAUCAAACUGCUCCUGCUCCUCACUCUCUCCACGGAACACAAGCUCUUCAUUUAGAAUGCAGAAGCCAGUGCGCCCUCUUCUAAAGUACAAAUCCAAUAUAACUAACCAGUAGGGAAAAACAUAUGAGUGUAGUUUUUAUGAUCAAAGGCCUCCUGCACUGAAUGAUGCCUGCACACACAUACAAAAAAAACCAAAACCUAUAGUUCAUGCCUGCAUGGCAUAGUAGCAUGUAAUGUGCAAUUCUUGUCACAAUUCUUGUUUAUUGUUAAUUAUGAAGUGCAGUGAAAGACCUCAUAAGGUUUCAGUCCAGCAGGAUCGAUGAAGCUCUCCAUAGUCUUCGGUCCAGAGGGAUCAGUGAGAGACUCAGCAGACUCUCAGCGGAGACAGACUUUAUCAACGUGAAAAGAGUAGAAUCAGUGAACAGAGGAAACACUCGUGUCCAACAGGUUGGAGAUUCUUCAAGGUGGAAUCUUUUCUCUGUUCAGCAUCUUCCUUUUUUGUUUUGGCCAGUGUACUUAAUUUUGGACUUUAGGAAUGUUCAAAAAUGUGUGUUUUUCUUUGCCUUUAGAAUAGUUUAAAAAUUAAAGCUUGUGUAAAGGAAGAGAGUGAUGGUGAAAAGAAGAGAGGCAGAGGUUAGUGGUCGAGCGAAUCCCUGUGAGCUUCAGGCAGACGUCUCUGAGCCCAGCGGUUGCCCUUCUCUCUGCUUCUCUACCCUCUCUGUCCCCAUCCACAUCAUUCUUCCUUUUCUGUGACCUUCACUGCUCUGUGCAUACUGCAUUAGAGGUUUAUUCCUCAGGCCUAAGUCAGGUCUUAGUGACGUGUACAGUUUUAAAGAAUAACUUUGUACUUCAAGAAUGCAUGGUUUUCCCUUGCAAGCAAUAAGAAUUGUGUCUAUAUGUUAAUUAUGAAGAAGUGUUUUGAUAGGAAUACUGAUCUUGUCUAAAGCUUUAUGUAUGUCUUUAUACAUAUGGGUGUGUACAUAUGGAUGUAUAAAUAUUCAUAUGCACAUACAUAUCUAUGAUUUGCAUGAUGGAGGGUUUUGACAAAAAUGAUUGGUUUUUUGUAGCCAAUUAUUUGUUGUUCUGAUUAGAUUGCUGAAGGGGUGGGGCUUAGUUUUGCAUGCUAAGACGCUAUUGGGUGGAAGAGACCAUUGUAACUGUAAAAAAGUGGGUUGUUCUUUUUAUUGAAUAAGGUUUUAUUGGGAUAUGUUGAACUCUGUAAACAUGCUCUGUUUUAUUUUAAUUUUCUCUGUUAGACUACUCAGUAGUCUUGUAAUCAUUUCAUGAUUUAUUCUUUUUCAUCUUUUCACAGAGAACUAUUCUGAAAGCCCAGUGCUUAUCAGAUAUAUGCAAAAAGAAGCUGUAACUGUGAACUAAUCUAGAACAGAACACUCCCCUCCUUCUUACCUGUAUGCAUUCCCAAUUGAACACCAGACCCCUUCAGUACUCCCCCAUAAAUGGUGGUUCCCUCCUCACCAACAUUUCUGCCCUUAUUUCCAAUGUCAUUGUCUGAUUGUUCCCUGUUGUUCUACCACAUCUUUCCUUUCACUUGUUUCAUAUCACCUACUUCUGUUCACAGUAUGUGGAACAGAUGCUUUUGAUUUUAUUACAUGUGCAUACCCGAUAAACCUUUUUAUGUGCAUGUUGCCUGUGGGGGUGGGGGGUUACCACUUGACCCCCCCCCCCCCUUUCACAGCAGAACAAGAUUGCAGGACUGUGAGGUAAAAUAAUGUAGCAUAUUCGUUUUAGAUCAGUAGCAAACACUGGUCACUUUAGGGGAAUAAGAGGAAAACAUAACGGUCCUGAAUGUUUACCGGGCCUGAAGUCAGGACCAUAUAAGCACUCAGCUGGAGUUCAGAGUCUCUGGCUUUCAGUGGCAGAGACAUAGAAACAGGCUACUGGAUGUUUCCUGUUCCGCAGGGAACAUAAACUCGCCAUAGCCAGCAUAAGGACUAGGGGGUGCUGAUGAUGAGUCUAUUACUGGUUUCAGCAGUGCAUGUUGCCUCGCAUACUACUGGAAUGUUUAGAACUGCAUCCUUGUGCAUCUUGUGAUUUUUGUGUAUGCAUAUAGUAUAUCUCCCUGGCAGGAGGAGACAACUGUUCACCUCAUCAUAAGUUCUGAAGAGGACUCAGAGGAGAGAGAAGGUCUGUGUCUUCUUAGAUCGAGCUUGAAUGCUAGGAUUGACGUUGCUGCUAGGAAAUGAUGUGCAUAAUUGAUUGCUAGACAGAAGCCAGAACCUUUGUCAACAGUGAGAAGAGAGAAUGCAGUUUGGAUUGGCAAAUUGAACUACAUUACCCACACUCCUCUCUGUCUCUUGUUCGCCUGUAUUCCUCCUUGUCACAACUCAGGUAUAUAUCUCUCUUUGUUGGUCUUUAUCAGUGCUUCCAAAAUGAUGUCAUUCAGAAUAAAGUAAGAGAGAGCUAGAGAGCGAUUGAGUGAAUGAUCAAUGGAAUUUCCUGUCUUAGCAUGCGUACUUAGAAAUAUGAAUGUAGUCCGUUUUGUUUUUGUCCUCGUCACAAGUCUUCCUUUCCUACAGUGUCUGUGUGCUUUUUCUUAUCUCAUCCUUUGCCACAACUCUCUCUCCAUUACCUUACAAACAGACCUACUGUCAUUUUGCUUUGCUUUUAUUUUGUUGAUUUUAUUACAAUCUCAACUGCUUCCAAAUGACAAAAAAAAAAACAUUUAAAAAACUGUCCCGGAUGACAAUUUUUUAAAGCAACGAAGCAUUUGUCAAAGCUUCAGUAUGAUGCGCCCUAAGUGGAUUACAAACAUCACACAUGGAAACAGGACUGAACCCAUGAAAGAGUGAAAGACAGACGGACAGAUUGUAUGCAUGGGGAAAACGAGUGGGAGAACUGUGUGUGUUUAAAAUAACAAAGAGGAUGGUCAUCAAAAAUGAAGAAAGGCACCGAGAGAUGGAGGACGGUUUGAGGAAGAAGAAAAAGAAAGAAAAGAGGGAGCAGGAAGGAAGCAGAUCGUCUCAGUUGCUGAGUUUCUGAACUGACCUCUUUCUCUCUAAGGAUGGACACCCCACCCCCACCCCAGCAUAAUAAAUCCACAGACCAACAUCAGAGUCACCAGUAGACUAAGAAAAUACACGGGGUAAACAGAGAGAGAAAAGGAGGAAUGAGAAAGGAUGUGUGUUCUGUGGUGCUGAUAAGACCUGAAGCAAAAAGGGAUCACUCAGUUCUCCAAUCAUAGGCACUACUCUUGACUGGAUCGCCAAAGCACAGACUCACUACAUGCGGAGGAUGUGGGACCUCCCAACCCCUUCCAAGCUGGAUCUCUGUUUGAUGCCCACAUGCAUGUACUCAUGUGCAUGCAUAUCAACACACACUCACUUUACAUUUCAAUAACUCUACCCAGCCUUGGCAACCAAGACAACACUGGGUAGAACCCAUUUUAAAUAGAUCACUAUAUGUGAUAUUAUAUUUUUAAGGUUAGUGAGUGGAAACAUUUUCAUGCUCUCUUGUGUGUGCUUUAACUUAUUGGGUCCAUCUGGUCUCUUUGCAAAUACUCUUUGAAACAUCCCAGAGAAAUCAUCUCUUCACCAGUCCCACAGGUGUAAGCUAGAGAUUUAAACUCAGAAAACAGGGGAUUUCUCUUCCUUUGGGCUCUAAACAAUUUUAAGCGCAACAAAUUGCAUGGAUAUAUCCCCAUGCUUGACUCAACUCUAUGCAAUUCAGCCACAUGCCAUUUAAAAAGCCAAACUAGAAGACUGCAGUCAACUCCAUCCUCUCCCCAGAAGGGAGCCUCAUUCUACUCAUGAUCCAAUGACAAUGGCCUGCCUGGAGCCUCCACUUCCACCACCCGCGACUACUGGAGCCUCCAUUUACACCACCCACCACUUCUGAAGCCUCCAAUUACACCACCCACCACUACUGAAGCCUCCACUUACACCACCCGUCUUUUCACCCAAACUAGUCUGGAUCCCUCUUGUACUACAUAUCAGAGAAGAACAAUCUGGCACACAAACUCAGAUCAAGCUGACAAAAUCCUCAAAAUCUGAGGGUCAAGUUCAUCAUGUCCUUUUUAUGAACCUGUAGAUGUGGGACUACGAGCACUACAGAGGGAAAGAUGUGUAGCCCCUCUUUCAGUCUUUCUACUCAUUCUUUCUCUCUCUCUAUUUCCAGCUCUCCCAACCCACGUUCCCAAACACCCAGAAAUCUCAGUGUUUCUCCUCCUAUGUAGAUGAACUGCAUGGCAUGAAAGAAAUGAAAAAAAAACAAACAACAACAACAAUUAAAAAAACAUCACGAGAAAGAACACAGAGGUUGGGUUGGAGAAACCAUUGGGGUGUUUAUCAAAGGGUUGGAGGGUACAGAUGACAACACAUCCCUUGUGUGUCAAGCCCCUCUGAACGAGGCCUGUCUGUGGAGUGGAGCAGAUGGUGCACAUCUUCCACCUUUACCUGGGGAAGUGGAGAAGAGGACCAGGGCUUGUCCCACAUUGAGAAAAUGUACACGAAGCCUGCAGAAGGACCAGGAGAGGGGCGCAGCUCCAAGAAGGCUGGGUGAACUUUGAACUUGACAAUUAAGGAAAAAAAGAAUGAGAAAUGAAAAUGCAUUUUCUGACUUUGUUUACCAGCAUGACUAAAUUGCAUGAUUCUACUGUAAGUUCUGAUUCCCAGGAGAGGGCUUGGAAUUAUUAAAAACAUGGGAACACAAUAUAGAUUUAUGUUAUAUGCAGCUAAAUUUAGAAAAAGAAAAAGAGAUAAUUAUAUUUAAAAAAAAAAGAUGUUCUAUUAUUUUUUAUAAAAAGAUUAAUGAAAAAAAUAUGAUUGCAAGAUACAUUCAGAACUAUGCUUUAUCAGAUAUGAUACCCCCAGUCAAUUCUAGACAGUCAGUCAGACCAACUACCCCUGCAAGUGCAACCACUAUAACGAGCUGUUUCAAAUGGAAUUCCAACUUCUCACUCCCUUUCCCCACUCUUUGCCCCAGCACUCUCUGUUCUCCUGCUGCCACCUGCAGUCUCUGCAGGGCAUUGCACCCACCUGUGCUCCAUCGCUCUCUGGUGUCCUCUGUGAUGGCAGUGCAGUGGAGGGCAUGCAGUGCACACUGGGUCACUCGGUCCUAGUGCUAGGGUGUUGGCUCCCAUUGAUGCUUUCCCACUGCUACAAGGGUUCUGAGCUGAGAGCUUUAUCAGUGAACCUCCAGUCAAUGGUUUGUAAUUAUAUACCAUUUUCAUUAUGUCUAUGGUGAGGCACAGGGGAAACAAAUGGCCUUUUGAAUGUUCUUUCUAUCCAUAAGUCAUGGUUUAAAGUUCUUUUUCUUUUGGUGUUCAACAUUUUUGUCUUCUGCUUCAGCUUUUGGGGGUGUAGGUGCUGCUUGAUAGGAAGCAGUGAAGCAGUGCUGAAGCAGUCAUCUCAGUCCAGAGCUGGUCUGGAGAACACACUCAUAGAAGCAGUAGAGUAAUAAUGGACAUCAUCAAAGUCUGAUGUCUAGUAGAAAUGCCAUGUUACCAAUACUAGGAUUAUUAUUGUUACUAUUUUUUUUACUGUCACUUAAUUUUAAAGUCAUUUUCACCAUAGUUAAUUAAGCUCUUUGAAUGCAUAAUAUUGACCACAAACACUCAGUGCUUAUUGAGCUGUUUUAUGAUUUCCUGAUCUAAAUGCAAUUUGAGAUCAGCUUUGUCAUAUUUGUUUUAGGAUUAGUUUAAUAAGGUAAUAUGUCAGGUAAAAUGUUUCAGUGCACUUAAAGAGGUCUAUAUGUGAUAAAGGCCACCAAAUCCUUCAAUGCACCAUGACGGCUCAAAUUGAAUCAAAAGCUGGAAAAAGGUGCUUUUUGAGUCUUCCUUAUUAACUCCAAGGGUUAAGGCCAAGUUCCAUGCAGGUAGGGAUAUGUCUCCAUGUAAUGGAUACCACAUCUUGCACGUUUAUGGCUUAAAAAAGUGAAAGGAUGAAGCUGAAGAUAUGUGAUCGUUUACAGAAUUCUGUGUUUGGUUUAACUUCUCUCUAGGUGGAAUGUUCCUCUUUGUAAUUCUUUUUUUACAUUGACAGUGAACGAUCAUCCAUUGCGAACACUACAUGGACAAUACAUUUCAGUACAGAGUAAUGUGUUCUUCUCAGUCACCCCAUUCCUCACGUUUUAAUUCAUUCUCUGCUCUCCUAAAGAUUUGCACUGAUGAUAUAGCAUAGAGACUGGAACAGAACACUGGGCAUUACAGACAAGCCACGGGGGAAUCAGUUCAAUUCUUCCUACUAAAGUCAGAGCAGAGCACAGAUGUUGGAAUUGGUUUGUGUGUUUUUACAGUUGAGCUUGUCAUAACUUUUUCUCUGAGAAUCUGUGCGUGCUUUACCAUCUCUAGGAUCAGGAUAUAAUCAACAGAGUUGAGUUACUAGUGCACCUGUGCAAGGAUACUGCAAGUCACGCCACUCACCCAGGCUGCUUUCUUAGGCUGCUUGGCUGUUGGCUGUGUUGGUGCUGCAGGAUAGAGGCCAGCAGAAGAAGGCAGAUUUGGCCAAAAGGGGCGAGAGCAGAGAGGCUGGUACUGCUCCUGAUGUAAGCAGUAGGCCUGCUGUGGUAGAGGAAGUGGGCCAGCGGAGUGCUGGUUCCAGCUGAGCGCGUUCCUCCUCUGCUGAGCUCUCUUCACAUUCCUAUUCCUUCAGGCCCACUGAGAGCUCUCUAGAAUUUCUUCUGCUUCUCAAGUCCAUGCAGGAAGGUGACUGAGGGAACAGAAGAUUUGACAGAAAUUUGUGCACAUGGAAACCACCUAUUGAUGUGUGUGGUUUUUUUGGGGGGGGUUUUUUUUUGUUUUAUCAGCGCGUGUUGACACGUGUGUGUCACUGUUGGAGGUGAUUAAACCCACCGGCUGAGGGAAGGCAUGGGGGCACUGCUCAGAGAGGCUAGCGCCUCUUAGGAAAGCCAUCAUAUAGUGAAAACAUUUUGACCAUGGUUUUUUUUUGUUGUUGACGAUGCUGUUAGAGCAAUAAUUUGGUGCAAUCUGACCUUGCUCUUGGUGUCUCUAUUUAGUGUCACUCCUAGAAGUGAGUGAAGAUCUUGUGAUUGAGCAUAAAUGCCAUGUGAGGCUGGCUGGCAGAAUGAGCUGUUUUCCUGCUAGGCUCUUUGUUUCUGCUUGGAGGUACAGAUUGAGACCACACCCCCUAGAAUGAGUGAUUAGUCCAUGCUUGCAUAACCUUACUUGAAACUCAAAUAUGUGACAUAUCAGAGAGGUUCAGAACAAAGCCUAAAUUGGUCUUCACUUUUCUCUUUACUGAAUCCUUUUCUCCUCUUCCCUCUUCUGCUCCCUGUCCUUGACUAUUUUUGAGAAAGAAUCUCUUCUGCAUCCCUUGCUUUUGUGUUUUUAAUCAUAUUGUUUGAAGUUGAAUUAUACUGCAUGCAUGGGAUAAAAAAGGACACUUUAACCUAUUUAUGACUGAAUGGUGGUGGCCAUCUUUUCCUCCUGGUCUCUCUCACUCCACUUUCGCUGAGGAGGAAUAAAGUGGCCACAAGGACAAGUUGAUUAUUUUACAGAAUGCUUCACUUGUGUUAUUAUUUAGAUCUGGUUGUUUACCACCAGAAAGUUGGCCCUUGCUAUCCAUAAUUUUGCUCUAGCCAGCAAAGAAUUUAAAGAAUUUAAAACUUCUACAGUGGAGAGUGGGAUUUUUUGACAAAGGUGGUGGACACUCAUACCUGUUACAUAAACUCAUUGAGAACUUUGAUGAAUCCAAACUGGAAUACGUUUCAUUACAUAUUUAUUUUACAUUGCACUUUGGAUUUGGUUGACUGUUAUAGCUGUACUAUUUUCAAAAAAUGUUUAAUUUAUGCAUUUAAUAUUGAUUUUAAAUUAAUGUUUAGCACUUUUAUAUUGAGAGAGUUCAAUGUACCACUGUUACUAAGUAACUGAAAUAUCUGUACUAUUGCAGCUCUUAAUUACACUGUUAAUGACACACUCCAAUCCAACAACCCUUGUGUUUACCAUCCCACUUCUCCUGACAGAGAGGGCAAAGAGAGAACAGAGAGAGAAACACUAGGUGGUUUAUGCUAUUAAGACAGAUGCUGGACAUAAUUUUAAUGUCAUUAAAAGUUAAAAAAAAAAAAAAAAAAAAAA